RNAcentral lists this ribosomal RNA (1542 nucleotides) under Salmonella enterica subsp. enterica serovar Derby. RNAcentral describes it as "bacterial SSU rRNA". It matches the Rfam family "Bacterial small subunit ribosomal RNA". The record is from RNAcentral. Lineage: Bacteria; Pseudomonadati; Pseudomonadota; Gammaproteobacteria; Enterobacterales; Enterobacteriaceae. RNAcentral also lists the same sequence under 3 other names.
AAAUUGAAGAGUUUGAUCAUGGCUCAGAUUGAACGCUGGCGGCAGGCCUAACACAUGCAAGUCGAACGGUAACAGGAAGCAGCUUGCUGCUUCGCUGACGAGUGGCGGACGGGUGAGUAAUGUCUGGGAAACUGCCUGAUGGAGGGGGAUAACUACUGGAAACGGUGGCUAAUACCGCAUAACGUCGCAAGACCAAAGAGGGGGACCUUCGGGCCUCUUGCCAUCAGAUGUGCCCAGAUGGGAUUAGCUUGUUGGUGAGGUAAUGGCUCACCAAGGCGACGAUCCCUAGCUGGUCUGAGAGGAUGACCAGCCACACUGGAACUGAGACACGGUCCAGACUCCUACGGGAGGCAGCAGUGGGGAAUAUUGCACAAUGGGCGCAAGCCUGAUGCAGCCAUGCCGCGUGUAUGAAGAAGGCCUUCGGGUUGUAAAGUACUUUCAGCGGGGAGGAAGGUGUUGCGGUUAAUAACCGCAGCAAUUGACGUUACCCGCAGAAGAAGCACCGGCUAACUCCGUGCCAGCAGCCGCGGUAAUACGGAGGGUGCAAGCGUUAAUCGGAAUUACUGGGCGUAAAGCGCACGCAGGCGGUCUGUCAAGUCGGAUGUGAAAUCCCCGGGCUCAACCUGGGAACUGCAUUCGAAACUGGCAGGCUUGAGUCUUGUAGAGGGGGGUAGAAUUCCAGGUGUAGCGGUGAAAUGCGUAGAGAUCUGGAGGAAUACCGGUGGCGAAGGCGGCCCCCUGGACAAAGACUGACGCUCAGGUGCGAAAGCGUGGGGAGCAAACAGGAUUAGAUACCCUGGUAGUCCACGCCGUAAACGAUGUCUACUUGGAGGUUGUGCCCUUGAGGCGUGGCUUCCGGAGCUAACGCGUUAAGUAGACCGCCUGGGGAGUACGGCCGCAAGGUUAAAACUCAAAUGAAUUGACGGGGGCCCGCACAAGCGGUGGAGCAUGUGGUUUAAUUCGAUGCAACGCGAAGAACCUUACCUGGUCUUGACAUCCACAGAACUUUCCAGAGAUGGAUUGGUGCCUUCGGGAACUGUGAGACAGGUGCUGCAUGGCUGUCGUCAGCUCGUGUUGUGAAAUGUUGGGUUAAGUCCCGCAACGAGCGCAACCCUUAUCCUUUGUUGCCAGCGGUCCGGCCGGGAACUCAAAGGAGACUGCCAGUGAUAAACUGGAGGAAGGUGGGGAUGACGUCAAGUCAUCAUGGCCCUUACGACCAGGGCUACACACGUGCUACAAUGGCGCAUACAAAGAGAAGCGACCUCGCGAGAGCAAGCGGACCUCAUAAAGUGCGUCGUAGUCCGGAUUGGAGUCUGCAACUCGACUCCAUGAAGUCGGAAUCGCUAGUAAUCGUGGAUCAGAAUGCCACGGUGAAUACGUUCCCGGGCCUUGUACACACCGCCCGUCACACCAUGGGAGUGGGUUGCAAAAGAAGUAGGUAGCUUAACCUUCGGGAGGGCGCUUACCACUUUGUGAUUCAUGACUGGGGUGAAGUCGUAACAAGGUAACCGUAGGGGAACCUGCGGUUGGAUCACCUCCUUA